CGUUCUACAAUUAUUAUUUAUAAAUACACUAGUACAAAUGAAACGAACAUGGCUGAUUUUGAAUUCGAGCGAAAUGAAUCCAAACUUGCGUGCGAGCUUGCUUGCAAAGCAUUAAGAUCAAGAUGGAUUCCGGCGGAUUCUCUCUGCUCGUGAUCGUCUGGAGAGAAAUCGCGGACUUCGUGACCUAGCCUCUCCCAUGGAAACUGCAACUCAUGCAGCUUCCCUUGUUCGAUGCAAGGUCAAGAUCAGGGGUAGGGCCUUAAGUGGUUAUGUCAUGAGCUGAGCGAGAAGGCAGAUAUAAUUGGGCGGUAGAGCAAGUAGUCACAUCACUAGCCGGUCCCGGGAUAAAGGGUAGGAAGUAACGAGCGACAGAUUUGCACUCGGCUUGCCGAUUACAAAUCCCCGUAACCGAACGUACAAACACUCACCUUAGGUCUGAGGGCACACGGAAGGACUCGGUCAUUUCAACCGUGACCGUGAAAGUGACCGGAUAGGAGUUCUUGGUGUUGCUUCGCGUCUUUCAGUUUUCAAGUCCAAGAUAGGAACAAGUAGUGCCAGUGUGCGAACGUGUGCCGUGUGCGUUAAGAAGGAGAACCCCAGUCGUUCGGCGGCCCUCUUACUCCCCGAUAGAACUGGUGCGUCGGCACCCGCCCUGCUGGUGUUCCAGCAUCCCCGUCCGUGCCCGCAGGAUCCACUUUCCGUCGUUCCGGUUGAAAACCCCCCCGGUAGGACGCCGUCCGGAAGAGGGCUGCGCACGUUACCAUCGCGCCCUGAACACGCCCAUCCACCACGCGCGUGACCAACUUACACCCCUUUGCGCGUCGGCCAGCUGACCCCGCCGAGAGCGCCGAGAGCAGAACGCCCACCUGGCGUCGACCGUCAUCGGAGAGCGCGUGAACUAAGUUCACCGCGCCACGCGGAUAGAUAUCGAGUUGCCGCCGGAAGCCGGCAAGCACGACGCUGAGGCGUCUCGAGAGAAGCAGCACAACCGUGUCGAGAGAAGAGCAGCACUGAGCGUCAGGAGCAUCGUCGAGCGUCGCAGAGCAUCCGAUCGUCGCACCACGUGCGGCCCCGUUCCUGUGAGAGAGGUUAGGUUGCAAACCGCCUAACCAAGUAGUGAGUACAACUCCC
Molecule: long non-coding RNA, 1131 nt
Organism: Culex quinquefasciatus (southern house mosquito)
Lineage: Eukaryota; Metazoa; Arthropoda; Insecta; Diptera; Culicidae
Exons: 3
Source: RefSeq, a predicted model, not a curated record